GACGAGGUUGAAGUAGCUAAAAAUGUCUUGAUGAAUUUGUUUCUAACCAACAUGCAGCUUUUUGCUUCACUAUACGUUACUUAAUGGAUUACUUGAUGGAUUAUUGUGAUGUUUUUAUCAGCUGUUUGGACUCUUAAUCUGACGGCACCCAUUCACUGCAGAGGAUCCAUAAGUGAGCAAGUGAUGUAAUGAAUUUCUCCAAAUCUGUUCUGAUGAAGAAACAAACUCAACAAACUACAUCUUGGAUUUCCUGCAUGCGGGCUUUAAAGAAUGUGCUAAUGUGGCCAGACUAGCCACUUCCUGUUUACUUCUGCAUGUCAGAUGGGUCAGAAGUGAUACAGCGACUGAGGACCAAAACAGACCUCAAGAAUGUGGAGGCUAAUGGAGGAAUGCCAGUUUAUUUACCAAAACUAAUUUACACUGAAUGAUUUACUGGACUCUGAGAUCACUUCUUGUCAUAGACCUGCACCUCCUACUGUGUGAAGUCAAGUCAUUCCCUCCUCCAGCUAGUAUGGAUGAGCUUCAUGGUUCCCCCAAACACAAUCGCGCUGACUUGGAGCCUGUCCCAGCCCGGCACCGGAAUGAUCCAAGUCUUAGGGGAAAUAAGACGACAGUUCAUUGCAGUAACCACUGAAGUCAUCAUUCAAGCAUCCAUCAAAAUAUACCAACAAUUCCACCCUCUGUCUCCAUUUAGACAAGAUUUGGUUAAGCUUUUAAGUAACUUGGUUAAAGAAAUGAGAUUACUUUUAUGUGUAUUUAUGACUUUAGUGGACGUGAGCUGUCAGGGUUUAGUCUUUUGCAGAUGACUAUUUCAGCUAUUGUUAACUCUAUCUGUAUUUUACAGAAUCUGUAUUUUGAUAUGAAUGGACACUGUCAACAUUUAUUUACUCAGAUGGGUUUAUUUUCAGUACUUGAAAUGUUUUAUUUCAUUGCAUGAAUAUUAGCAACUCCCUGAAAUUUAAAAGUCAAGCAGGAUAUGGUUAAAGAUCUGAGAAAGUUAGAAUCAUUUUUAUAGUAGCUCAAAUAACUCCUUUAAGCUUGC
Molecule: long non-coding RNA, 1042 nt
Organism: Cyprinus carpio (common carp)
Lineage: Eukaryota; Metazoa; Chordata; Actinopteri; Cypriniformes; Cyprinidae
Exons: 3
Source: RefSeq, a predicted model, not a curated record